GAUGAACGCUGACAGAAUGCUUAACACAUGCAAGUCUACUUGAAUUUGGGUUUUUAACUUAGAUUUGGGUGGCGGACGGGUGAGUAACGCGUAAAGAACUUGCCUCACAGCUAGGGACAACAUUUAGAAAUGAAUGCUAAUACCUAAUAUUAUGAUAAUAGGGCAUCCUAUAAUUAUGAAAGCUAUAUGCGCUGUGAGAGAGCUUUGCGUCCCAUUAGCUAGUUGGAGAGGUAACAGCUCACCAAGGCGAUGAUGGGUAGCCGGCCUGAGAGGGUGAUCGGCCACAAGGGGACUGAGACACGGCCCUUACUCCUACGGGAGGCAGCAGUGGGGAAUAUUGGACAAUGGACCGAGAGUCUGAUCCAGCAAUUCUGUGUGCACGAUGAAGUUUUACGGAAUGUAAAGUGCUUUCAGUUGGGAAGAAAGAAAUGACGGUACCAACAGAAGAAGUGACGGCUAAAUACGUGCCAGCAGCCGCGGUAAUACGUAUGUCACGAGCGUUAUCCGGAUUUAUUGGGCGUAAAGCGCGUCUAGGUGGUUAUAUAAGUCUGAUGUGAAAAUGCAGGGCUCAACUCUGUAUUGCGUUGGAAACUGUAUAACUAGAGUACUGGAGAGGUAAGCGGAACUACAAGUGUAGAGGUGAAAUUCGUAGAUAUUUGUAGGAAUGCCGAUGGGGAAGCCAGCUUACUGGACAGAUACUGACGCUGAAGCGCGAAAGCGUGGGUAGCAAACAGG
This 735-nucleotide ribosomal RNA is filed under the name uncultured Fusobacterium sp. RNAcentral describes it as "bacterial SSU rRNA". It matches the Rfam family "Bacterial small subunit ribosomal RNA", at positions 28 to 776 of the family's 1533-position model. The record is from RNAcentral. Lineage: Bacteria; Fusobacteriati; Fusobacteriota; Fusobacteriia; Fusobacteriales; Fusobacteriaceae.